CCUACGGGGGCUGCAGUGGGGAAUAUUGGACAAUGGGCGAAAGCCUGAUCCAGCCAUGCCGCGUGUGUGAAGAAGGCCUUCGGGUUGUAAAGCACUUUCAGUGGGGAAGAAAGCCUUGGGGCUAAUACCCUCGAGGAAGGACAUCACCCACAGAAGAAGCACCGGCUAACUCCGUGCCAGCAGCCGCGGUAAUACGGAGGGUGCGAGCGUUAAUCGGAAUUACUGGGCGUAAAGCGCGCGUAGGCGGUCUGAUAAGCCGGUUGUGAAAGCCCCGGGCUCAACCUGGGAACGGCAUCCGGAACUGUCAGGCUAGAGUGCAGAAGAGGAAGGUAGAAUUCCCGGUGUAGCGGUGAAAUGCGUAGAGAUCGGGAGGAAUACCAGUGGCGAAGGCGGCCUUCUGGACUGGCACUGACGCUGAGGUGCGAAAGCGUGGGUAGCAAACAGGAUUAGAUACCCGUGUAGUC
Molecule: ribosomal RNA, 464 nt
Filed under: Vreelandella stevensii
Lineage: Bacteria; Pseudomonadati; Pseudomonadota; Gammaproteobacteria; Oceanospirillales; Halomonadaceae
Description: partial 16S ribosomal RNA
Rfam family: Bacterial small subunit ribosomal RNA
Source: RNAcentral